AAGUUGUAAUAAGGUUUUCGUAGGUGAACUUGCGGAAGGAUUAUUACUAAAGAUUGAGAGAUCAAUUUUAAUUCGCUUGGUGUUUAGAGGUUCUGGACUUCGAACUGGUCAACUUUUUGUGAAUUAAAAAACCUUUUCGCUUCGGUAGCUGGGCCUGACCGCCUGUCAGCUUGUUGCUAGUACUAAUCUUUUAAACUUGUUGUUAAACAUUGUCUGAUGAUUAAAAUUUUCGAAUGAAAAUCAAAACUUUUAACAACGGAUCUCUUGGUUCCC
Molecule: unclassified non-coding RNA, 273 nt
Filed under: Arthrobotrys sp.
Lineage: Eukaryota; Fungi; Ascomycota; Orbiliomycetes; Orbiliales; Orbiliaceae
Description: partial internal transcribed spacer region
Source: RNAcentral